GCAGAACUGACUGCACUUAAUCGUCUUUGAUCCUCUAUGCACAUGUUUGAAUACUGUGCAAUAAAGGUGUCUAGACUAUUGGUUCUGUACUCUGGCCAUUAAGUCACUUAGGACCUUAAAAAAUAAUUAGUGUUGGGUCAGCCAUGGAUGACAUCAAGCUGUGUCCCUGUGCAUGGAUUCUGAGAGCAUUGUUUUAGGCCCUAAUGAUUCCCAUGUCUGAGUGAGACUGAGAACAACUGAUUUAGAUACAUUUAUAAACAAGCAAAUUAUAGAGUUAUGUACUUGUUUCAAAUUAACAUACAUGGUAUUACACUGUGAAUCUCACUGUGUUUUCUUUGUAGUGCCCUUGAGAGCUCUCCAUGGUGCUGCCUAGUUUAUUACAUGCAUAUUCACAGCAUCCCUGUGACCGGUAAAAUCAGGGUAAGAAGAAAGCAGAAUGAGGUCAGAAAGGAUGUCCGAAUACAUUCGUCAAAAUAAAAAGCUUCCAGAAAGGAGAGAGUUUUUCAUUCAG
RNAcentral lists this long non-coding RNA (511 nucleotides) under Oryctolagus cuniculus (rabbit). Its description in RNAcentral is "lncRNA (ENSOCUG00000032523.1)". Lineage: Eukaryota; Metazoa; Chordata; Mammalia; Lagomorpha; Leporidae. The record is from RNAcentral.